RNAcentral lists this ribosomal RNA (466 nucleotides) under uncultured bacterium. RNAcentral describes it as "partial 16S ribosomal RNA". It matches the Rfam family "Bacterial small subunit ribosomal RNA", at positions 339 to 795 of the family's 1533-position model. The record is from RNAcentral.
CUACGGGAUGCUGCAGUGGGGAAUAUUGGACAAUGGGGGAAACCCUGAUCCAGCAAUGCCGCGUGUGUGAAGAAGGCCUGCGGGUUGUAAAGCACUUUCGGUUGGGAGGACUGCUUCUAGCACUAAUAUUGUUGGAAGUUGACGUUACCUUCAGAAGAAGCACCGGCUACCUCCGUGCCAGCAGCCGCGGUAAUACGGAGGGGUGCAAGCGUUAAUCGGAAUUACUGGGAGUAAAGCGCGCGUAGGCGGCUAGAUCAGUCGGGUGUGAAAGCCCCGGGCUUAACCUGGGAACUGCAUCCGAUACUGUCUAGCUUGAGUACAGGAGAGGAGAGUGGAAUUCCACAUGUAGCGGUGAAAUGCGUAGAUAUGUGGAGGAACACCAAUGGCGAAGGCAGCUCUCUGGCCUGAUACUGACGCUGAGGUGCGAAAGCGUGGGGAGCAAACAGGAUUAGAUACCCUUGUAGUC